This 213-nucleotide unclassified non-coding RNA is filed under the name Hevea brasiliensis (rubber tree). The record is from RNAcentral. Lineage: Eukaryota; Viridiplantae; Streptophyta; Magnoliopsida; Malpighiales; Euphorbiaceae.
AUUGGAAGAGUGGCUCCUGUUGACUCUGGAUUUUGGUGGAUUAUAUUGCUCCGGGCAUACACAAAAUCUACUGGUGAUAUAUCAUUGGCUGAAAUGCCAGAAUGUCAAAAGGGUAUGCGCCUAAUUUUGAGUUUAUGUCUUUCGGAGGGGUUUGACACGUUUCCAACUCUUCUUUGUGCUGAUGGAUGCUGCAUGAUUGAUCGUAGAAUGGGC